AUCGCUUCUCGGCCUUUUGGCUAAGAUCAAGUGUAGUAUCUGUUCUUAUCAGUUUAAUAUCUGAUACGUCCCUAUCUGGGGACCAUAUUAUUAAAGAGAUUUUUGGAACAGGGAGAUGGAAGAAGAGCUUGCUCUGUACAUCCACGCAUCGACCUGGUAUUGCAGUCUCCAGGACCGUGGCACCUCUC
This 188-nucleotide small nuclear RNA is filed under the name Xenopus tropicalis (tropical clawed frog). RNAcentral describes it as "U2 spliceosomal RNA (ENSXETG00000047594.1)". It matches the Rfam family "U2 spliceosomal RNA". From Rfam's summary of the family: U2 is a small nuclear RNA (snRNA) component of the spliceosome (involved in pre-mRNA splicing). Lineage: Eukaryota; Metazoa; Chordata; Amphibia; Anura; Pipidae. The record is from Rfam by way of RNAcentral.